GGCCCUAGAUGACUUUCAAAAUGUAUUCAUCAUUGAAAAAGUUUCAAAUUAUCUCCCUUUGGUGGAAAAUGCCAUUUUUUGGCUCUAAAAUUGAAAUAUCUUUUUCAACUCAUCGGUGACCUAUCUUUUUUAAUAUAAUUUCCAUAUAAGCUGUACUUAAACUAAAUCAUUGUAAAAUUUUAGCGAUUUCUGUAAUAAAUUUCUUUUUUUUUUAUUUCGAUAUUACCUUUAUUUCUCCUAUUACUUCAACAGAAAAAAACCACCUUUACAAAAAUGUAUGCUUCUUUCGAAGGCAGAUUGUGAGCGCAAAUGAACGGUGACCCCACUUUUUUAUUUUAUUUUUCUAUUAACUAUAAGAUAAAGUUCAUUUAUAGAAAAAUAUAGAGAAAUCCUAUAUAAAUGAUUUAGACCCGCGAACCCCCUUAAAAUAUGUAUU
This 436-nucleotide long non-coding RNA is filed under the name Mytilus galloprovincialis (Mediterranean mussel). The record is from RNAcentral. Lineage: Eukaryota; Metazoa; Mollusca; Bivalvia; Mytilida; Mytilidae.